GUAUAAGUUGUGAAAUGCUAUGUGGUUUGUCUCUGGCAGCUUCAGCAGGCUCUUUUCUGCUGCAGGUGUAGAGAUUGUGAUCUUUUGCAUGAACAACGAGCUAAAAUAACUGCUGAAAAUGUAUGAUAACAUGUUGAGGUUAGGAAACAGUGUGGGCGGUUUGGAACUUGCCAUGACUGAGAAGCAG
Molecule: long non-coding RNA, 187 nt
Organism: Girardinichthys multiradiatus
Lineage: Eukaryota; Metazoa; Chordata; Actinopteri; Cyprinodontiformes; Goodeidae
Exons: 2
Source: RefSeq, a predicted model, not a curated record